This is a long non-coding RNA of Notechis scutatus (mainland tiger snake), 243 nucleotides long. RefSeq lists it as uncharacterized. Lineage: Eukaryota; Metazoa; Chordata; Lepidosauria; Squamata; Elapidae. The record is from RefSeq and is a predicted model, not a curated record.
AGUGCUUAAUUACUGCAACUUGAACUUAGAGGAGAAGAGCGUCAGACAGAGGUGUCUGGAAGGCGGUUUGUUACAAACCUGAGCCGCGCCUGAAUUAACUCAGGUUGGUAGCACAAUCCAAAGAGCACAGAAGACAUCUCCUCUAAUGGGGAUGAAACGUUUGCAACCAAAUCACCAAGCCCGGCGCUCAAACCAACUACAUAAAUAAUUGACUGAAUUCAUACUAUGAAUGAUUCUACAUAG